AGGCGCGUAGUUCAGUGGGAGAACGCUACCUUGACACGGUAGAGGUCGGUGGUUCGAAACCACUCGCGCCUACCA
RNAcentral lists this transfer RNA (75 nucleotides) under Pseudomonadota bacterium. RNAcentral describes it as "tRNA-Val". It matches the Rfam family "tRNA". From Rfam's summary of the family: Transfer RNA (tRNA) molecules are approximately 80 nucleotides in length. RNAcentral also lists the same sequence under 1 other name. The record is from RNAcentral. Lineage: Bacteria; Pseudomonadati; Pseudomonadota.